CCAAGUACAGAUCCCUGAGGUACCCCACUGGUGACAAGUCCAAGCUUCGAAUAUAUUCCAUUAACUACAACCCUCUGUUGCCUGUCACUCAGCCACUGUCUUACCCAUUCAACAAUAUUGGAAUCCAAACUUAAAGAUUGCAGUUUAUUGAUAAGCCUUCUAUGUGCAACAGUGUCAAAAGCCUUACUGAAAUCUAGGUAAGCAAUGUCUACUGCACCACCCUGAUCUAUAAUUUUAGUUACCCAAUCAAAAAAAUCAAUAAGAUUAGUUUGGCAUGAUCUCCCUGAAGUAAACCCAUGUUGUCUUUGAUCUUGAAAUCCAUGUGUUUUUAGAUGUUCAUCAAUCCUAUCCUUUAACAUGGUUUCCAUCACUUUCCCCACUACUGAAGUAAGGCUUACUGGCCUAUAGUUGCCCGACUCCUCCCUAUUACCUUUCUUGUAAAUGGGCACAACAUUCGC
Pelobates cultripes (western spadefoot toad) is the source of this 458-nucleotide non-coding RNA. NCBI's taxonomy places the organism in Eukaryota, Metazoa, Chordata, Amphibia, Anura, Pelobatidae. The record is from the annotation of a GenBank genome assembly.